Molecule: unclassified non-coding RNA, 253 nt
Filed under: uncultured Alteromonadales bacterium
Lineage: Bacteria; Pseudomonadati; Pseudomonadota; Gammaproteobacteria; Alteromonadales
Description: contains 16S-23S intergenic spacer region
Rfam family: Bacterial small subunit ribosomal RNA
Source: RNAcentral
UACGGAGGGUGCAAGCGUUAAUCGGAAUUACUGGGCGUAAAGCGCGCGUAGGUGGCUUGAUAAGCCGGUUGUGAAAGCCCCGGGCUCAACCUGGGAAUGGCAUCCGGAACUGUCAGGCUAGAGUAUGGUAGAGGAGUGUGGAAUUUCCUGUGUAGCGGUGAAAUGCGUAGAUAUAGGAAGGAACACCAGUGGCGAAGGCGACUCUCUGGUCUGUAACUGACGCUGAGGUGCGAAAGCGUGGGGAGCAAACAGG